Molecule: ribosomal RNA, 502 nt
Filed under: uncultured bacterium
Lineage: Bacteria
Description: partial 16S ribosomal RNA
Rfam family: Bacterial small subunit ribosomal RNA
Source: RNAcentral
GACGAACGCUGGCGGCGUGCCUAAUACAUGCAAGUCGAACGAACCGCGACUAGGUGCUUGCACUUGGUCAAGGUGAGUGGCGAACGGGUGAGUAACACGUGGGUAACCUACCUCAUAGUGGGGGAUAACAGUCGGAAACGACUGCUAAUACCGCAUAGGACAUAGGAUCACAUGAUCCAGUGAGGAAAGGUGGCGCAAGCUAUCGCUAAGAGAUGGACCCGCGGUGCAUUAGCUAGUUGGUAGGGUAAAGGCCUACCAAGGCGAUGAUGCAUAGCCGACCUGAGAGGGGGAUCGUCCACAGUGGGACUGAGACACGGCCCAAACUCCGACGGGAGGCCGCAGUAGGGAAUCUUCCGCAAUGGACGCAAGUCUGACGGAGCAACGCCGCGUGAGUGAAGAAGGUCUUCGGAUCGUAAAGCUCUGUUGCUAGAGAAGAACAGCGCAUAGAGUAACUGUUAUGCGUGUGACAGUAUCUAACCAGAAAGCCACGGCUAACUACGUG